GCGGAGGGGAGGGGAGGGGAGGGGAGGGGAGAGGAGGGAAGGGAAAGGAAGGGCAGGGCAGUGCAGGGCAAAAAGGCCAAGCCAUAGUCAGAAAGCCAGGAGGCACCUCCCUGUGCCCCGCCACGGUCUUAAACCCACUUCUCCUUCCUUACAGCCCUAGGACAGAUGUGGCUGAAGGUCAGGCUCCAGACGUGACGCUGGGGUUUCCAGUGACAGCCUGAACCCAGUGCUUGGCCCUGUCUGCACUUUUAUUCGGAGUGGGGCUUGGGCUAGGGGGUGUGUCCUGAGACGGGGAUGGGAUCUGGAUGAACUGAGAUGAAUUCUGGAAGCUUGGAAACCCCUGAGCCCCGGGUCCCCGUGAGUCUCCCUUGGCAGCAGAAGCUGCCCCUCCCCUAUCAGAAGGGACCCACCCCCCGUGCUACCCCCACGCCAGCACCCCCGGCUGGCUGCCCUCCCCACGACCAGAAGGAAACUGUCCUGUAUUCUCUGAAUACACAGCCUGAGGGACAGGAGACCAUGCAGGGACAUGGGGAAGCAGCGUGAAUGUGGAUUCUGAGGGUGUCACACCAAGGGGGACAGGUCUGGGCUGAAUGUUCCUACUCCUGCAGUUGGAGGUGCCUCUUGGAGUUCACUUGGACCCUAGACUCCGUGGUGGCCUGAUCCCAUGAGGCUGAGAUGCCACAACCUCCCCGCACCGUGGGAGGAGGAAGCCGGGCCACCUGAGGAGGACGAGGGAACCCUGGGAGAUGGCGGGAGGCAACCGCGCCAGCUGGCCUCGUGAACAGCACAGAAAUGGAGCUGGGGGUGCCCGUGUCGUCAUCACGAAUCCAGCCAUCUCAUGAAUGCAAUUACGUCUUUUUACCCUUUCUCCUACCCUUACUGGUUUUUUGCUGUUGUUGUUUUUUGUUUUUUGUUUUGAGACAGGGUCUCCCCCUGUCAUCCAGGCUGGAGUGCAGUGGCGCGAUCUCAGCUCACUGCAGCCUCUGCCUCCCAGGUUCAAGCGAUUCUCCCGCCUCGGCCUCCGAGUAGCUGGGAUUACAGGCGUGCACCACCAUGCCCAGCCUACCCUUACUUUUUAAAUAUUUGUGGUGUUUGGCACCGUAGCUAUGGGUUACAGAAAGCCCAGGUGAUGUCACACGGAAUUUACCCCUGCGUGGUGCCUGCGGGGUGGCUGGAGCCAGGGUCUCCGUCUUGGGUGGGGACUCGGGGAGAGCUGCAGUGUCCUAGGCAGCCACCUGGGGCCCGGUCACAUGGAAGUCAGAUGUGGGCCUGGGCCGCCGUGCAGCGAUGGCUGUGCCAGCCGUCUGCCUUGCCUCUCACCUCCACCCCACCACAUCGGCCACUCUGCCCUGGGGCUGGGACUGACCCUUCACCCUUGCUCCCAGGCUUCCGACCACUGCCCUCUGGUUGGGUCCGGUCAAGGGAGCCCCUGGCCGCAGCCCAGAGGGAUUGGGGGCCUGGACCCCUCCACAUCUGUCUUGGGUGGCAUUUCUUCACCUCGGCUCCCGCUGGCAGGUGCCUCCUUCUUGAUCCUCCUUUUCUAGGAAGCCUGGCCUGACUCUGCGUCCCCAACUCCAGCUUCACCCCGGCAGCCUUAGGACAUGGCAGCGGCCUCCUGCCGUGGGCCACGGAUUCCCGCACCGCCUCGGUCACCCGGUCUUCAGGCGCGGCCCCUGUCGAGUCACCCGACAGACUCGUAGGUUUGUUCUGUUUUUCAGCGCCCUGCGUCAGCUGCCUGCACACCGGGCCCAGCUCAGCUGUGCAUGGCUCCAGCACCAUUUUAAUUAUCGUAUCCACUGCAAAAUGCGUCAUUUCUUGUUGUGUUAGCGGUCGCUGUUUCCUGACUCCCUGCUGUGCGGCUAAAUGAGUUAGACGAAUCUGUUCUCUCCUGAACUUGGCGGAGCUCCUCGGCACCCCACACUGUUCUGGGGACUUGGGCUGCCUCGGAGGAAAAAGAAAACAGAUGUCACCAUGCCCUGUGGAGCCUGCGUCCUAGUGCGGAUGUGGCAGUCGGUCCACGGGAUGCACGCGGGACCCCAGGUGAAGGUGACCACCGUGGAGGAAGGUGGGACAAGGCGGGAAGGGCUGGGCGAAGGGAGCACGGUCACCUGGGGAGCGGCUCCAGACAGGGGACAGCAGGAGGCCCUCGCCACAGCACCUGGUGUGGGAGGCACAGCCAGGGUCAUCGUGGCCACGGGCUGGAGGCCAGAGGGGUCUGUUCUGCGCAAUGGCUGCUGAGCUGCAGCGAUGGGGUGGACGCCGAGGGGACCCGGGCAGCCGAGAGGCAGCAUGAGGAGGGAUUGGGUUCUGUGCAUUUCCAUGGUGCAGCCAUGGGAACCUCUAUGGGAUGAAGGGGCCGGGAGAAGCUGCGGGGCCCAUGGCGGGGCCUGGAAGGCUGGGCACCCCUCACUAGGUACGGGGACUUCUGGGCAGCAAGUGAUCGGGGAUCGUUAGGAUUCAGCCAUGUUGAGUGUGAGAAGCCUCUGGGACAGCCGGGUGGAGAUGUUGGGGCCUCCGGACUCACGGCCUGGGAGUCGGCGGCAGGAGGGUGGCCAGUGGUCAUCAGCACAGGCGGCUCGAGAGGCCAGGGCCGGACAGAGCAGGUGUCAAGCCUCGGAGCAGAGGACCCAGAGGGCAGGCACAGCCACAGGCCUGGGAGCCGGGGAGCACAGAGCCCUGGACACACACCGGAGCACGUUGCAGAAAGGAAGGGCUGGUCAUGUGUGUGUAGCGUGUCUGUGAGUGUCUGCGUGUGUCUCUGUGACCAUGUGUCUCUGUAAGGGAUUCUGUGUAUUUCUGUGUCAGUAUCUCUGUGUGUCCACGUGUGUCCACAUGUGUCUGCAUGUGGGAUGCCGAGUACCUGUGUGUGUCUACGUGUGUCUGUCUAGGUGCAUGUGGUCUGGGGCUGCACAGAGGCUGGGUGGGGAUGCUGACAACCAUCCCAGACUGAGCCCUGUAGCCCCGAGAGGAGGGCGUCGGUAGCCUGUGGAGCAUGGCUGGGAGGGACCCCUGGAGCUGAAGCAGACAGGUCAGGGUCACCGUGACUGUCUCCCGCCCUGGUUCUGGGACCCUGGGCCUCAGGGUCUGGGCCACCUCUCCCUGGCCGGGUGGAGCAGCUCCAUGGCAACCCAGGUCCCCACCAUCCAGGACAGGGUCUGCCUCAGCCUCGGGUGGCCGAGCCAGGCAGGGUGAGGCCGAGAGGGCAGAGGAUGGGAAGCCCAGGUACCCACUUCCGCCGCCGGCCCCACCGGCCUCCCUCACCCCUCCCAACAACCCACGGCCUGGGAGUGUCGAUUCUGCGCCACUAACUCAUUGAUCGCCUUGCCCGGGUUAAUUAAUUAAUUAGGGGCAGCCAUGGAGCACAGUGGGCUGGGGCCAAGGAGGGACCCCAGCGCCGGGAGCUUUAUUAGUACAUAAAAUGGGUGUUUAAAACACACACGGCCACGAGCGUGCAGUUGAGGCUUUUCAUUAAACAAACCUAUAACAUUACGUGCCUCAUUAUGUAUUUCGAGACUUCCCCUGCCUUCCGCGCUCCCUCUCCACCUGCCUCCCCGCGCACUCCAAGUGCCUAUUUGAAAUCAAUUUCUCUAAUAAUGGAC
Molecule: long non-coding RNA, 3599 nt
Filed under: Homo sapiens (human)
Lineage: Eukaryota; Metazoa; Chordata; Mammalia; Primates; Hominidae
Description: long non-coding RNA NONHSAT198168.1
Source: RNAcentral